Long non-coding RNA from Bradysia coprophila, 196 nucleotides. NCBI's taxonomy places the organism in Eukaryota, Metazoa, Arthropoda, Insecta, Diptera, Sciaridae. The record is from RefSeq and is a predicted model, not a curated record.
GUUUAAGAUUUAUUUCUUGAAUGAUGGCAGAUAGAGAAUUACUUUCUUCGGCAAAGUCUCAGAGUUUUACGAGUACAACAGAGUGGCAUAUGUGAGAAAUGUCGAAAGUUGGAAAUGGGUGGGUCAAUUAUGUUUUUAGAGGUAUUUCUUGAAUGGUGACAGAUAGAGAGUUACUUUCUACGGCAAAGUCUCAGAG